RNAcentral lists this long non-coding RNA (522 nucleotides) under Hordeum vulgare. Its description in RNAcentral is "long non-coding RNA (HVUL_LNC011485)". The record is from RNAcentral. Lineage: Eukaryota; Viridiplantae; Streptophyta; Magnoliopsida; Poales; Poaceae.
UUAAUCCUAAUUCCAGUCCUAUAAAUUCACAUCUUUGGAGAAAAAAAAUCAAAGAGAAGAUUUCAUUGCGUUUUACGAGACAAAGCCGCCGCCACCUCCUCUUCUUCACCGGGAGGGCUGAUUUGGCGUCCGUUUGGGGAUCCAGAGAGGGGGAUUCGUCGCUGUCGUCGUCACCAAUCCUUCUCCAUCAACAAUUUGAUGAUGCUCACCACCGAAAGUGAGUAAUUCCUUUGUAGGCUUGCUGGACGCUGAUGGGAUUGGAUGAGAUUGAUCAUGUAAUCGAGUUAAUUUGAUAGGACUUGAUCCCUAGUAUCCAUUAUGUUGUGAGAUUGAUGUUGUUAUGACUUUGUUAUGCUUGAUGCUUGUCACUAGGGCCCGAGUGUCAUGACAGAUCAAAACCUAUUAUGUUUUCUCUGAAUAUGGAAGUGCUUGGAUCAUAUCUUGCAAGUUGUAUGCACUUAUUAUGUGUUAUGAUCCGCAUGCCCCAACGUGACAAUAAUUGGGAUUCUUUCCGGUGAUUGC